RNAcentral lists this ribosomal RNA (273 nucleotides) under Triticum aestivum (bread wheat). Its description in RNAcentral is "partial small subunit ribosomal RNA". The record is from RNAcentral. Lineage: Eukaryota; Viridiplantae; Streptophyta; Magnoliopsida; Poales; Poaceae.
AAGUUUUCUUCAGUUGACAGGGAUAUAAGGAGAUCUAACAUGAUAUCAUGGACUCGACAACUUGUCACUCUUCCGUCGGUGUUGAUUUGAUCCGAUUGGAUCAUGUUCCUGUUGAUGAGCUCAUUAAAAUAUCAUUCUGCUAUUUCUUCAACAUUUUGCCCUUGUUGGGCAACAACUAAUCCUUCAGCGGUCCAUCUCCAUACUAGACGCUUACAAUCAAUCUUAUGAUCCUCAGGGAAUGUGCUUAGGUCCAAUAGACACAUCUUCAAAUAG